AGAAUCAACGCUGGCGGCGUGCCUCAGACAUGCAAGUCGAACGCGAAAGUUUCCUUCGGGAAACAAGUAGAGUGGCGCACGGGUGAGUAACACGUAGGUAAUCUACCUUUGGAUGGGGAAUAACAACCGGAAACGGUUGCUAAUACCGCAUAAUGCAGCGGCACCUAAUGGUGACAGUUGUUAAAGCGGGGGAUCGCAAGACCUCGCGCCUGAAGAGAAGCCUGCGGCAGAUUAGCUAGUUGGUAGGGUAAUGGCCUACCAGGCUACGAUCU
RNAcentral lists this ribosomal RNA (272 nucleotides) under uncultured bacterium. RNAcentral describes it as "partial small subunit ribosomal RNA". It matches the Rfam family "Bacterial small subunit ribosomal RNA", at positions 26 to 282 of the family's 1533-position model. The record is from RNAcentral.